Molecule: ribosomal RNA, 494 nt
Filed under: uncultured bacterium
Lineage: Bacteria
Description: partial 16S ribosomal RNA
Rfam family: Bacterial small subunit ribosomal RNA
Source: RNAcentral
GACGAACGCUGGCGGCGUGCUUAACACAUGCAAGUCGAACGGAAAGGCCUGCUUUCCCUUGUGGAUUGCGGGUACUCGAGUGGCGAACGGGUGAGUAACACGUGAGUGAUCUGCCCCCAACUUGGGUAUAAGCCUGGGAAACUGGGUCUAAUUCCCGAUAGGACUGCAGGGUGGUGCCUGUGGUGGAAAACGAUUUUCUAGUGGUUGGGGAUGAGCUCGCGGCCUAUCAGCUUGUUGGUGGGGUAAUGGCCUACCAAGGCGGCGACGGGUAGCCGGCCUGGGAGGGUGGACGGCCACAUUGGGACUGAGAUACGGCCCAGACUCCUACGGGAGGCAGCAGUGGGGAAUAUUGCACAAUGGGCGGAAGCCUGAUGCAGCGACGCCGCGUGGGGGAUGACGGCCUUCGGGUUGUAAACUCCUUUCGACCGCGAGGAAGCCACCUGGUUGGAAGGGUGGUGACGGUAGUGGUAGAAGAAGCUCCGGCUAACUACGUG